This is a long non-coding RNA of Canis lupus familiaris (dog), 970 nucleotides long. RefSeq lists it as uncharacterized. The transcript has 2 exons. NCBI's taxonomy places the organism in Eukaryota, Metazoa, Chordata, Mammalia, Carnivora, Canidae. The record is from RefSeq and is a predicted model, not a curated record.
UCGGGCCCAGCGCGCUCUCCGGCGGCCGCGCUCCCUCGCCGCCGCGCCGGGCCUCACCUGGCGACGGCCGUAGGUUUUUUUUUUUUUUUUUUCUCUGUUUACCCUAACAUCUUGAUGAUGCCCAGCCCCGUUGGUUUUUCUUUUUGCUUUGUUUUUCCAACCGCUGGUGGUGUGGUUGGAAGAUGCUCUUGGACGUCUUCUCCACCGCGCCAGGCCCAUAUUCACACCUUGGGGCGCGGUUCCCCUGCCCGCGGGGCUGCCUUUUACUCUUUACGGUCUGGAAGGCUUCUCGUGUUCCCAGUGUCGGGGGAGAAAGACGCAUGUCGUUGUACAAUGGGAUGAGGACGGAGAGCAAAACAGUAUAAAUGACAUCAGAUGACCCUACAAAUGAAGCAUUAUGACAUCAUCAUCAUCAACCAACAGCCUGCCAUGACCUGCUAACAAGAAAAGGGAGUUAAAGAAUUCUUAACACUCUUCACAGUAAAGUCAACUUCCGGUCCCUUGGGUUUUAUGUGUGUUAAAAAGGACCUUCAGAGGAGGGAAGAGUCAGUACCAGUCAUAUCUUUCCUGGGAAAUAUUAAGUAGGAUAUGCUUACUAUCUUCUUCAUUUUUUUAUUAACCUAUAAUCAAAAAAUCCUGAUGUACUCAGGAGCUAAAACAAUGACUUUCUGAUGGGGUGGAACAUAUAUCAUCUCCAGAGAACAUAAAAUUUUUCUGUCUAAAACAUUUGAUUAUACAGUGAAGAUGAAGCUCACAUAUUUCUUUACAAUGUGGGGCUUACUAUCAGACAAAAGGCAAAAUGUCUGAAAAUACCAAAAGUGGGUGGAGCUCUCAUAAACUCUGCAAGAGCAAAAUCGGACAAUUUCCACUUUGGAAAAUAGUUGAACAAUAAUAAAAUUAAAAUUCCCCAUACCUCUGAAGAACCUUUUUUAAUAGUAUCAUUUGCAAUAAAAUAUACUUAAGAAACAUA